GCUGAUCAGCCUGCCGCGUGAGUGAUGAAGGCCUUCGGGUUGUAAAGCUCUUUUGUCAGGGAAGAAAAUGACCGGACUAAUACCACAAGCGCCGGACGGUUCCUGGCCAGCAACCGCCGGCUAACUACGGGCGACCGCCUUAUUCAAAACGAAGGGGCCUAGCGUGCAUCUAAAUUGCUGGACAAAACACGUGCGCAGGCACUCAUCUCAGACUUGAAAGAACUCCCCUGACUCCACCUGGUGACUGCAAUAGAGACUGCUUGGAUUCCGAGCGGAAAAGGGAAAUUCAAUUCCAUUUGGAGGAAUAACAUGCGUAAAUGUGCGAAACAACACCGAUAGUGAAGGCAAUCCCCUGAACCUUGACUGACACUCAUGAAUAAAUGCCCGGGGAGCACACACGAUUAACUACCCUGGCCGCCCACUCCCUAAACAAUGUCAACUGGUGGCUGGAUUGAUUGCUGCUCUGCCGCCUAGCUAACGCGUGUAACUCACCCCCAGGAGAAGCAUUCACGAGGUUAAAA
RNAcentral lists this ribosomal RNA (521 nucleotides) under uncultured beta proteobacterium. Its description in RNAcentral is "bacterial SSU rRNA". It matches the Rfam family "Bacterial small subunit ribosomal RNA", at positions 382 to 899 of the family's 1533-position model. The record is from RNAcentral. Lineage: Bacteria; Pseudomonadati; Pseudomonadota; Betaproteobacteria.